GUGGGAAGCGAAAAAAUGUACCAGGAAAGUUUCCAUUCUUAAAAGUCUCCUUAGUGCUGCCAAACACACCAAUGAAUGGUGCAAAUUGGUCUGUAAGUUCAUUGAUUUCCUUGCUGUCUUCUUUUAGAUUCCAACACUGGCCUGAUUCAUGAGGUCCAAAGAGGGUUUGAUGGGGAUCCAGCAUUCCAAUUUGGUCACCACUGAAAAUACUAGGAACAUCUGUUAUAUGAUAAACUGAAUUAAAGCCAAUCCCAAAUCUUCCAACUUUCAGGGGAUCAUCUUUCUUCCUGCUUCUAGCAAUUUCCUGUAUACCAUGCCAGUCCUCAGGCGUGAAAAUUGCAUCAUUGUAUGCAUAAAAUGCUGGCCCCUGAUAUUGAGCCAUGUCCUUGGACCACAGAGUUUCUGUUCCAUAUUGAGUUUCAUCAUAUAAAAACCUAACCUCUGUGGCACCAGCAUCUUCUGCAUUCUGAAUCAGUUCCUUAAGAAUCUGUCCUCCUUCUGGAUAUCUUCUUAAAAUAUCCUUAAGAAAAUCAACAAGCGGUGGAGUCGUUUGUCCAAAACGACCUCCUCCUUUCAAUGCUUCUGACUGAAGUUUUAGAAAAAUUUGAUUUUGAGACUUUUGAAGAUCUACAAUCUUGGUAUCAUCAGACAACUCUCUCCCGCAGUGCCACAGCCGCUGUCGGGCAGCAGGGAAGCCGGCUUCCGCGUCGAUCCGCGCCUUCACGUCGCCCACAUCCGCGGAGGGCGGCAGCUCGAACGUCCUGCAGCCCAGGCAGCCAUGGAGGAUGGUGACCCGGGCCAGCCUGUUCUUAUCCUUGAUCUCCAUUGUCUCUUCUUCUUUGAUAUCUUCCCAAUAGAAUCAUGAAGCAGAUUCUGGAUUUAUAAAUUAGAAAAGGAUUUUUCAGUCUUCUUUUCUUGGUGGCUCAUUACCUCCUCUUCAGUGGACAUUGGAAAGCCAAACACAGCUUAUUUUUCACUCCAUCCCUUCAUUCCAAAAGACUGUUUUAUGUCGCACCAUCUACUACUUCUCCAGGUUUCUUCUAAAACUCAGUGGUAAUUGUUCACAGGCCUUGCCUUUCUCAUAAUAAGGAACAGACUUAAGCAAGGUCUUGCUUAGUUUUUUUUAAACUGAAUUCAAGAUGAUGCUUUUGUGCAAUUGAUUUCUAAUAAUUUUUCUGGUGAAGGUGUGGAAGUGCCACAGUUGCUGUUUCUGUUUUUAAUUCCUUUCUUCUGGAAACAGACAAAGUUGAAAUAUUAUUUGUGAAGGCCAAACUCUUGACUUGUCUUCCCCCUCACACAUGCUAGAAGACACUUCUUAACAUCAGCUCAGGAGUUAGCAUCGGCCAGGACAAAGCUCUGUGUUUAACUAUUCCUUCAUAAACUGCUUCCACAUGCUUGUCUGCUCAUUGUGCCAUUUCUUCCACUGGUUGCUUGUGUUUGACAGCAUCUGGACAGCAAAAUGAUCCUUCUUCCUCCUCUCUUGCAAAAUCAGCAAGCUGCGGAGGGAUGCGUGACCACUGCUGCAGCCUCUGUGUAUG
Molecule: long non-coding RNA, 1538 nt
Filed under: Gallus gallus (chicken)
Lineage: Eukaryota; Metazoa; Chordata; Aves; Galliformes; Phasianidae
Source: RNAcentral